AAACAUGGUUGUCCUUAUGUCAGUUAUAAGUCCAGGAAGUGUGUUUUCUUGCUUCAAAGUCACAAAUAGACCUACUGUUGGCCACAUUUUUCCAAGGGUCACAAAAGAGUUCCCAUGUAGAUCCCUCUCUCUUCCUUCCUACCUAGGCACAACUGGAGUGCCCUCUGCUACAACAGUCUCCCCUGGGAGCUCCAACUCAGAGGCCACAACUUCUGUAGGAGAAAGUGGAAAAACAGGAGCUGAAACAAUCACAGGUACUACUGAGGGCAUCUCUGGCAGAACUCUGGAGGCUAAAAGUGCCCACACAGAGGCCACAACUUUCCCAGGAGGCAGUGGAACCACCCAAGCAGGACCACCCGGAGAGGCCACCACUUCCACAGAACGGACUGGUACUUCUGGAACUGGAUUCAAAACUGGCACCUCAGAGGUAGCUCCUGCCACAACAGUUGCCCCAGGAAGUUUCAGCACAGCAGCCACAACUUCUCCUGGAGCAAGUGGAAUGACUGGGGUUGCAACAACUACAA
This 524-nucleotide small RNA is filed under the name Pan troglodytes (chimpanzee). RNAcentral's name for it is "retained intron". The record is from RNAcentral. Lineage: Eukaryota; Metazoa; Chordata; Mammalia; Primates; Hominidae.